Molecule: ribosomal RNA, 269 nt
Filed under: uncultured bacterium
Lineage: Bacteria
Description: partial 16S ribosomal RNA
Rfam family: Bacterial small subunit ribosomal RNA
Source: RNAcentral
ACUCCCUACGGGAGGCAGCAGUGGGGAAUAUUGCACAAUGGGGGAAAGACCCCUGAUGCAGCCAUGCCGCGUGUGUGAAGAAGGCCUUCGGGUUGUAAAAGCACUUUCAGUAGGGAGGAAGGUAGUGUAGUUAACACCUGCAUUAUUUGACGUUACCUACAGAAGAAGCACCGGCUAACUCCGUGCCAGCAGCCGCGGUAAUACGGAGGGUGCGAGCGUUAAUCGGAAUUACUGGGCGUAAAAGCGCAUGCAGGCGGCCUGUUAAGUCA